RNAcentral lists this ribosomal RNA (489 nucleotides) under uncultured bacterium. RNAcentral's name for it is "partial 16S ribosomal RNA". It matches the Rfam family "Bacterial small subunit ribosomal RNA", at positions 30 to 506 of the family's 1533-position model. The record is from RNAcentral.
AUUGAACGCUGGCGGCAGGCCUAACACAUGCAAGUCGAACGGUAACAGGAAACAGCUUGCUGUUUCGCUGACGAGUGGCGGACGGGUGAGUAAUGUCUGGGAAACUGCCUGAUGGAGGGGGAUAACUACUGGAAACGGUAGCUAAUACCGCAUAACGUCGCAAGACCAAAGAGGGGGACCCUCGGGCCUCUUGCCAUCGGAUGCGCCCAGAUGGGAUUAGCUUGUUGGUGGGGUAACGGCUCACCAAGGCGACGAUCCCUAGCUGGUCUGAGAGGAUGACCAGCCACACUGGAACUGAGACACGGUCCAGACUCCGACGGGAGGCAGCAGUGGGGAAUAUUGCACAAUGGGCGCAAGCCUGAUGCAGCCAUGCCGCGUGUAUGAAGAAGGCCUUCGGGUUGUAAAGUACUUUCAGCGGGGAGGAAGGGAGUAAAGUUAAUACCUUUGCUCAUUGACGCUACCCGCAGAAGAAGCACCGGCUAACUCCGU